Molecule: ribosomal RNA, 497 nt
Filed under: uncultured bacterium
Lineage: Bacteria
Description: partial 16S ribosomal RNA
Rfam family: Bacterial small subunit ribosomal RNA
Source: RNAcentral
GAUGAACGCUGGCGGCGUGCCUAAUACAUGCAAGUCGAGCGAACGGACGAGAAGCUUGCUUCUCUGAUGUUAGCGGCGGACGGGUGAGUAACACGUGGAUAACCUACCUAUAAGACUGGGAUAACUUCGGGAAACCGGAGCUAAUACCGGAUAAUAUUUUGAACCGCAUGGUUCAAAAGUGAAAGACGGUCUUGCUGUCACUUAUAGAUGGAUCCGCGCUGCAUUAGCUAGUUGGUAAGGUAACGGCUUACCAAGGCAACGAUGCAUAGCCGACCUGAGAGGGUGAUCGGCCACACUGGAACUGAGACACGGUCCAGACUCCUACGGGAGGCAGCAGUAGGGAAUCUUCCGCAAUGGGCGAAAGCCUGACGGAGCAACGCCGCGUGAGUGAUGAAGGUCUUCGGAUCGUAAAACUGUGUUAUUAGGGAAGAACAUAUGUGUAAGUAACUGUGCACAUCUUGGCGGUACCUAAUCAGAAAGCCACGGCUAACUACGUG